AUGGCGGCUGCGGCGCUGUUAUCGGCUCCGGCGCCGGUGCCCCUGCCGGCGGCCUUCGCGGGGUGGUGGGAGCACGUGAACGGCUCGCCGGCGUGGCAGGACGGGAUCUUCUGGGCCCUCGCCGCACUCUACGGCCUCAUCGCCGCCUCCUCCUUCAUCCAAGUUGCCAGAAUACAGCACAGAGUUCCUGAAUAUGGAUGGACAACACAAAAGGUCUUCCAGUUCCUUAAUUUCUUGGUUAAUGGAGCAAGGUGUUCCAUCUUUGCUUUCCGUCGUCAAGUGCAACUAGUGAACCCUCAGAUCUUUCAGCAUGUUAUUCUUGAUCUGCCGGGGCUUGCAUUCUUCACUACCUAUGCAAUGUUGGCACUUUUCUGGGCUGAAAUAUCUUAUCAAGCACGUGGUCUAGACACUGAUGGCCUCAGAUCAGGUUUCUAUACUAUUAACGGUGUCGUUUAUGCGAUGCAGGUUUUGGUGUGGGUAUUGUUGUGGUUGAAUCCAAAUUCAUCUAUGCUUGUGCUUUCAAAGUUAUUCAUUGCGGGACUUUCAUUUUCCGCUGCUCUGGGUUUUCUGCUGUACGGAGGGAGGCUAUUCCUCAUGUUGAAGCGUUUCCCUAUCGAGUCUAAAGGGAGGCAACAAAAGCUGAGCGAGGUUGGCAGAGUGGCCGCUAUUUGUUCCUGUUGCUUCUUGGCAAGAUGCGUAAUGAUGUGUUUCGCUGCCUUCAAUAAAGAUGCUGAUCUGGAUGUUCUUGACCAUCCAAUUCUGAAUUUCAUAUAUUACCUCCUUGUCGAAAUCGUUCCUUCGGCUCUUGUCCUGUACAUUCUGCGGAGGAUCCCUUCGAAGCUAAAGCUCGCACGUUACCAUCCCCUCAGCAGCGGCUAG
Molecule: ribosomal RNA, 879 nt
Filed under: Triticum aestivum (bread wheat)
Lineage: Eukaryota; Viridiplantae; Streptophyta; Magnoliopsida; Poales; Poaceae
Description: partial small subunit ribosomal RNA
Source: RNAcentral